CCGUGCUAGGUGGGGAGCUAGCGGUGCCCUGUACCCGCAAUCCGCUUUAGCGGGACGGAAUCCCCGCCCGAGGAGCAGGCCUGUGGGGUCUGACGCCGGCAAGCGGUGUUGACGGCCAGGUCCUGCGCAAUGGAAAUCCGUGAACCGGGUCAGGACCGGGAGGUAGCAGCCCUAAGCGGACACUUCCAUGUGCCGCAGGGCGGCUUGGCCUGAGCUGGCUACCGGCGGGCGCCCGGAGGUCUGACUUCGAAGGCGGGUGCACGG
RNAcentral lists this signal recognition particle RNA (264 nucleotides) under Thermoleophilia bacterium. RNAcentral describes it as "signal recognition particle sRNA large type". It matches the Rfam family "Bacterial large signal recognition particle RNA". From Rfam's summary of the family: The signal recognition particle (SRP) is a universally conserved ribonucleoprotein involved in the co-translational targeting of proteins to membranes. Archaeal SRP consists of a 7S RNA and homologues of the eukaryotic SRP19 and SRP54 proteins. Lineage: Bacteria; Bacillati; Actinomycetota; Thermoleophilia. The record is from RNAcentral.